UGCGUAGGCGGAAUAAUAAGUCAGUGGUGAAAUCCUGUGGCUCAACCACAGAACUGCCAUUGAUACUGUUAUUCUUGAAUAUAGUUGAGGUAGGCGGAAUGUGUAAUGUAGCGGUGAAAUGCUUAGAUAUUACACAGAACACCGAUUGCGAAGGCAGCUUGCUAAACUAUUAUUGACGCUGAGGCACGAAAGCGUGGGGAGCGAACAGGAUUAGAUACCCUGGUAGUCC
Molecule: ribosomal RNA, 229 nt
Filed under: uncultured bacterium
Lineage: Bacteria
Description: partial 16S ribosomal RNA
Rfam family: Bacterial small subunit ribosomal RNA
Source: RNAcentral